This 253-nucleotide ribosomal RNA is filed under the name uncultured bacterium. RNAcentral's name for it is "partial 16S ribosomal RNA". It matches the Rfam family "Bacterial small subunit ribosomal RNA", at positions 524 to 776 of the family's 1533-position model. The record is from RNAcentral.
UACGUAGGUGGCAAGCGUUGUCCGGAUUUAUUGGGUUUAAAGGGUGCGUAGGCGGCUUUGUAAGUCAGUGGUGAAAUAUGUCAGCUUAACUGUGAGGGUGCCAUUGAUACUGCAGAACUUGAGUACAGAUGACGUAGGCGGAAUUGACGGUGUAGCGGUGAAAUGCUUAGAUAUCGUCAAGAACACCUAUAGCAAAGGCAGCUUACUAGGCUGUAACUGACGCUGAGGCACGAAAGUGUGGGGAUCAAACAGG